RNAcentral lists this ribosomal RNA (776 nucleotides) under uncultured Neocallimastigales. RNAcentral describes it as "partial large subunit ribosomal RNA". It matches the Rfam family "Eukaryotic large subunit ribosomal RNA", at positions 23 to 645 of the family's 3401-position model. Lineage: Eukaryota; Fungi; Neocallimastigomycota; Neocallimastigomycetes; Neocallimastigales. The record is from RNAcentral.
AGAGAGAGACAUGCGCGCAUAUCAAUAAGCGGAGGAAAAGAAACUAACAAGGAUUCCCUUAGUAACGGCGAGUGAAGCGGGAAAGAGCUCAAAUUUGAAAUCUUCAAGGUUUUACCUUGGACGAAUUGUAGUUUAAAGAAGUGUUUUCUGCUGAAGUUUUGGUAAAAGUUCUUUGGAAUAGGACAUCAUAGAGGGUGAGAAUCCCGUAUUUGACCAUUAUUUUCAGCUUUGUGAUACACUUUCAAAGAGUCGGAUUGUUUGGGAAUGCAGUCCAAAAUGGGUGGUAAAUUUCAUCUAAAGCUAAAUAUUGGCGAGAGACCGAUAGCGAACAAGUACCGUGAGGGAAAGAUGAAAAGAACUUUGAAAAGAGAGUUAAACAGUACGUGAAAUUGUCAAAAGGGAAGCGUUUGACACCAGUGUUGUUUUCUCGAAAAUCAAUUAAAAAUGGCUCGAUUUUGUAUUGUUGAGACCUUAAAAGCUCACUGUACAUUUUUCGUGUCUUUUUUAAUGCACUUUUCGUUUAACAAGUCAACAUCAGUUUCUUUUGUUGUAAAAGGGUCAUUGGAAGGUGGCUUUCUUUUCGGAGAAAGUGUUUAUAGCCUUUGGCCUCUGCAAUCGGAGAGACUGAGGUCUGCAGCGUAGACUCUUCGGGGUUAGAUACAUUUGUGCUAAGUUAUAGCUUUUUAUAGACAACUUGUUGACUAUAAUUAGUCUUGUAGCUUACUCGCUUAUGCUAUUUUACCUACGCUUAGGAUGUUGAAGUCAUCGUAUCGCGC